CUAAAGUAAACCAAUUUUCACUUUUUACCUACGAUGUUUAACUCUUCGUCAUAUUCAAAAAAAUAUUGCGAUUAAUAUUUUUAUUUUUAUUAGAUGAUAAAUCAUGAAUUGUACUUUACAUGUGACUAAUUUUUUUUAAUUUCUUAAAAAAUUUAAAUAAGACGGAUAGUUAAUAUACUGGGCAUGAAAACAAAAAGUUUAAUUUAUU
This 208-nucleotide microRNA precursor is filed under the name Oryza brachyantha (malo sina). Its description in RNAcentral is "MIR812 microRNA precursor family". It matches the Rfam family "MIR812 microRNA precursor family". Lineage: Eukaryota; Viridiplantae; Streptophyta; Magnoliopsida; Poales; Poaceae. The record is from Rfam by way of RNAcentral.